RNAcentral lists this ribosomal RNA (253 nucleotides) under uncultured bacterium. Its description in RNAcentral is "partial 16S ribosomal RNA". It matches the Rfam family "Bacterial small subunit ribosomal RNA", at positions 524 to 776 of the family's 1533-position model. The record is from RNAcentral.
UACGGAGGGAGCUAGCGUUGUUCGGAAUUACUGGGCGUAAAGCGCACGUAGGCGGCUUUGUAAGUUAGAGGUGAAAGCCCGGGGCUCAACUCCGGAAUUGCCUUUAAGACUGCAUCGCUUGAAUCAUGGAGAGGUUAGUGGAAUUCCGAGUGUAGAGGUGAAAUUCGUAGAUAUUCGGAAGAACACCAGUGGCGAAGGCGACUAACUGGACAUGUAUUGACGCUGAGGUACGAAAGCGUGGGGAGCAAACAGG